GACGAAGGAUGCAAGCGUUAUCCGGAUUCAUUGGGUUUAAAGGGAGCGUAGGUGGACUUGUAAGUCAGUGGUGAAUCUUUGGGCUUAACCCAGAAACUGCCAUUGAUACUGCAGGUCUAGAGUACAGUUGCCGUUGGCGGAAUAUGACAUGUAGUGGUGAAAUACUUAGAUAUGUCAUAGAACACCGAUUGCGAAGGCAGCUAACGAAGCUGUAACUGACACUGAGGCUCGAAAAGUGCGGGGAUCAAACAGG
Molecule: ribosomal RNA, 253 nt
Filed under: uncultured bacterium
Lineage: Bacteria
Description: partial 16S ribosomal RNA
Rfam family: Bacterial small subunit ribosomal RNA
Source: RNAcentral